Non-coding RNA from Caenorhabditis elegans, 21 nucleotides. The record is from Ensembl. Lineage: Eukaryota; Metazoa; Nematoda; Chromadorea; Rhabditida; Rhabditidae.
AUUCCGUUUGUUCAUAAAUGU